This is a long non-coding RNA of Piliocolobus tephrosceles (Ugandan red Colobus), 746 nucleotides long. RefSeq lists it as uncharacterized. NCBI's taxonomy places the organism in Eukaryota, Metazoa, Chordata, Mammalia, Primates, Cercopithecidae. The record is from RefSeq and is a predicted model, not a curated record. The transcript has 4 exons.
GCCGCCUUCCGGCCGGGCCCCUGCUCGCAUCUUGGCCUGCUGAGGCUGCGGGGCUCGGCCCGGCCUUCGAGAAUCCCCCGGCGCCUUCCCGAGCCUUCUAGACGUAUCUGGGCCGCCUCCUCUCUCCCUCCCCUUCCAGCCCUUCAUUCCCUCACUGCGGGCAGGCCCGCAGGCCCGGCGCAAACGUGGGGAAAGGAGUUGACCUUUGAGACCUGAUUGUUCAUGGCUGUUUCACAGAUGUCGAAGUGGAGACUCGGCAGGGUUGGAGGUUACCGGAGUCUCCCAGCUAAAAUGGAAGUGCUUGGUGAGGUUUGAGGUGUCUGAGCCGAAGAGCAGCCAGUGACAGGCCUGGGGAUCAUCUGACACAGCCCACUUGACAAGGCCUUGGAAACUUUUGGUCUCUGCAGCAGCAACCGGAUUUCAGCCUGGGCUUCGGACACCUUAGCCUGCGACUGUACAUCUUGGCCUCUUACCUACUGUGUCUGCGUCAGCCUCCCUCACAGCCUGAUGGCCCCUGCGGCAGCCCCACCCCAGUUGUAGGGGCUAAGAAAACUACAGUUCCAUGAAAGAGCAGAAGUGAGUGGGAGGCAGAAGUGGCGGGGAGAACCAGCCUGGAGAGGUGUUCUGAGAUCUCUAGACCAGCCAGUGGAUCCUGAUGCCUCACAUGGUCAGCCUUGUCUAGAGCCCCUUCCAGCACGGAGGCCAGCCCUCCUGGCAUUCUUCUAAUGACACUGAGCUAUGAGUUA